UUUCGGUAAGCUACCAAGGGCAUACGGUGGAUGCCUUGGCACGCGGAGGCGAUGAAGGACGCGGCUACCGGCGAAACACCCCGGGAAGGUGGAAGCAACCUGUGAUCCGGGGGUCUCCGAAUGGGGCAACCCGACAGGCUUCAUCGCCUGUCGCCCGAAUGGGCGCCAACCCAGGGAAGUGAAACAUCUCAGUACCUGGAGGAAAAGAAAUCAACCGAGAUUCCCCUAGUAGUGGCGAGCGAACGGGGAAGAGCCCAAACCGGCUCCCAUGUGGAGCCGGGGUUGUAGGACCCGCACACGACCCCAAGCACGAUAGCAGAAUGGUCUGGAAAGGCCAGCCAAAGAAGGUGAUAGCCCUGUACGCGAAAUCGUGCGUACGGUCGCGGUGUUCCUGAGUAGCGCGGGGCACGUGAAACCCUGCGUGAAGCUGGGGGGACCACCCUCCAAGGCUAAAUACUCCCGCGUGACCGAUAGUGCACCAGUACCGUGAGGGAAAGGUGAAAAGAACCCUUCAGAAGGGAGUGAAAUAGAACCUGAAACCGUAUGCCUACAAACGGUCGGAGCUCGUUCCCCGGAACGAGUGACGGCGUGCCUUUUGCUUAAUGAGCCAACGAGUUGCUCGUCCCAUGCGAGGAUAAGGGUGUCGAACACCCGCAUCCGUAGCGAAAGCGAGUCUGAAACGGGCGCCACAGUAUGGGGCGGCAAACGCGAAACCGGGUGAUCUACCCAUGGCCAGGGUGAAGUGUGGGUAACACCACAUGGAGGCCCGAACCGGUGUGGGUUGAAAACCGCUCGGAUGAGCUGUGGGUAGGGGUGAAAGGCCAAUCAAACUCGGUAAUAGCUCGUACUCCCCGAAAUGUUUUUAGGAACAGCCUCGUGCAGGUAUGCCGGAGGUAGGGCUCUGAUUGGGCUAGGGCUGUCACAACGGUACCGACCCCAGAUAAACUGCAAAUUCCGGCCAUACAACGCACGGGAGUGAGGCGGCGAGGGAUAAGCUUCGUCGCCGAGAGGGAAACAACCCAGACCGCCAGCUAAGGUCCCCAAGUGGACGCUAACAGAGAAAGGAUGUUUCGCUGCCCAGACAGCCAGGAUGUUAGCUUAGAAGCAGCUAUCAUUCAAAGAGUGCGUAAUAGCUCACUGGUCGAGCGGCGAAGCGCCGACAAUUCUCGGGACUGCAAGCGUCCCACCGAAGCUGCGGACUCUGCCCUACGGGCGGAGUGGUAGGGGAGCAUUCUGCACUGCGUCGAAGGUGCACCGCGAGGUGUGCUGGAGCGUGCAGAAGAGCAAAUGUUGGCAUAAGUAGCGACAACGAAGGUGAGAAUCCUUCGCGCCGAAAGUCUAAGGGUUCCUGAGCUACGUUCGUCGUCUCAGGGUUAGUCGGCCCCUAAGGCCAGGCCAAACGGCGUAACCGAUGGGAAGCAGGUGACUUGCAAUAUUCCUGCACCACCAAAGGCGUCCAGCACGGUGACGCAGACGCGAGGUCCGGCGGAGCUCCUGGCAAUCUCCGUCGGGCGUAGCACGCUGCCGAGAAAGAGCUGUGUGUAUCGCCGCGGUGACCGUACCGCAAACCGACACAGGUAGACGGGUUGAGUAUACUCAGGCGCGCGUGUGAGCCGUGGCUAAGGAACUCGGCAAAUUAGCCCCGUAACUUCGGGAGAAGGGGCGCUCCCGCAAGGGAGCCGCAGUGAAAGGGCCCAAGCGACUGUUUAUCAAAAACACAGCACUCUGCGAACUCGUCAAGAGGACGUAUAGGGUGUGACACCUGCCCGGUGCCGGAAGGUUAAAGGGAGGGGUUAGCCGCAAGGCGAAGCUCCGAACUGAAGCCCCGGUAAACGGCGGCCGUAACUAUAACGGUCCUAAGGUAGCGAAAUUCCUUGUCGGGUAAGUUCCGACCUGCACGAA
RNAcentral lists this ribosomal RNA (1902 nucleotides) under Chlorobiota bacterium. RNAcentral's name for it is "bacterial LSU rRNA". It matches the Rfam family "Bacterial large subunit ribosomal RNA", at positions 1 to 1996 of the family's 2925-position model. The record is from RNAcentral. Lineage: Bacteria; Pseudomonadati; Chlorobiota.